AUAAUUUUUGUGCAGUGCAUAAAUAGAAGUAAAUUCCUCUUAAGUGCUUCUCUUGGCUUAUUGCUGCACCAGGUUUAGCCACCUUUAAAGAAAUAGUUUUAUAAAUAAAUGAUGUCCCCACUGUUUUAGAAAAUAAAUUGUUUACCUUUUUCCAGUGGUGAUACAGUCUUCUCGCAGCAGCUCUGCCCCCAGAAGAUCACCAAUACUGAUUACGUCAGGGUGAAUCCUAUGCUUCUCGUAAAGAAGCAUUGGUGACCUACGGCCUGUGUGCAGUAAUUGGCAUGACCCACAAAAUUGAACCCAAUGCUUCUGUAUGAGUUUUAAAUCAUGAUCAAAGCAAAUGCUCAAGAAAAGCAGGAAGUAUGCAUCGAACAACU
This is a non-coding RNA of Pelobates cultripes (western spadefoot toad), 377 nucleotides long. Lineage: Eukaryota; Metazoa; Chordata; Amphibia; Anura; Pelobatidae. The record is from the annotation of a GenBank genome assembly.